Molecule: ribosomal RNA, 497 nt
Filed under: uncultured bacterium
Lineage: Bacteria
Description: partial 16S ribosomal RNA
Rfam family: Bacterial small subunit ribosomal RNA
Source: RNAcentral
GAUGAACGCUGGCGGCGUGCCUAAUACAUGCAAGUCGAGCGAACAGACGAGGAGCUUGCUCCUCUGACGUUAGCGGCGGACGGGUGAGUAACACGUGGAUAACCUACCUAUAAGACUGGGAUAACUUCGGGAAACCGGAGCUAAUACCGGAUAAUCUAUUGAACCGCAUGGUUCAAUAGUGAAAGACGGUUUUGCUGUAACUUAUAGAUGGAUCCGCGCCGCAUUAGCUAGUUGGUAAGGUAACGGCUUACCAAGGCAACGAUGCGUAGCCGACCUGAGAGGGUGAUCGGCCACACUGGAACUGAGACACGGUCCAGACUCCUACGGGAGGCAGCAGUAGGGAAUCUUCCGCAAUGGGCGAAAGCCUGACGGAGCAACGCCGCGUGAGUGAUGAAGGUCUUCGGAUCGUAAAACUCUGUUAUUAGGGAAGAACAAAUGUGUAAGUAACUAUGCACGUCUUGACGGUACCUAAUCAGAAAGCCACGGCUAACUACGUG